Molecule: non-coding RNA, 794 nt
Organism: Drosophila suzukii
Lineage: Eukaryota; Metazoa; Arthropoda; Insecta; Diptera; Drosophilidae
Source: RefSeq, a predicted model, not a curated record
UUAUCCCUAGAUGAUUGAUUUUAUAGAUUUCACUGGAGUAUUAGUCUUCGGCUGUUAGUGGAUUGCUUACUUUGAAAGCCAAUCAAAAUAACUAUUUUCCCAGGCGCAAGUUACCGACCAGUCGGCAGUCAACGAGCCUCCGGCCAAACCUUCCAGAGCUACCCUAGAAAUGGUACGCUGACUGGGUAGGCACUUUGACCCACACAUCUGGAUGUAGUUAUGUACCUUGCAACCUGAAUCAUUGCUUAUACCCGGCACCGACCACCUCGAGUUUUGCUGACAUAGCAACAGGAUGCCCCGACACCUCGCCCAGGAAAUGUGACACGAGCAGGCACUUCGAACGGAUUGCUAGAUAAUCAUUCUUUAUUUCAUCUUGUGUUAGUGUAUAAGCCCUUAUGUAUAGUAGCGGCUGCUUUUCGGCCACCGCUGAACCAUAUAUGAGGGGAGUCUAGAAAUUCACUUCAAACGUAGAAGACGUUCUUACUCUAUUUAAAUCGUAUUUUAUUCUAACAAAUAUCAAACUUGAGAUUCAAAAUAUCAAUUCUGAGGACUUACUGACGGAAAACUGGAACCCCCUUGGACCACUACCAACCGGAGCAGACACUUUAACUGUAAGAAACACACACACACACAGACUUAGGUGAAGUAUUCUUCUUCUCUAAACAAAAAUGCCAAGGUAUACAACGAGAAUAUAAUGCCAAAUACGACAUGGGAUAGCAAGCGAAAGAAAGUUAAAAGAAACAAAUCAUACCCGUACAGUGAAAGAACAAAUUUAUACUAAUGGAAAAAAAAAA